AGACCAAACCGUUUCCCCUCCUCAGCCGACACUUUAGAGAAUGCUACACUGCUAACUCCCCCAACACCAAACAGAAUGGAGUAGCCAUACUGCUACGCAAGACAUGUCCCCUAAACGUAACACAAGUCAUUAGAGACCCCCAAGGCAGGUUCCUGACACUCACAGGCCAGGCAGGCCCCAACAAAUAUGCCAUCACAACACUCUAUGCACCGAACAUCCCUGACAAAUCAUUCUGGGAUACACUACAGGCCCACCUGACACUGACCCCAGGCCACCUCAAAAUUAUUGGAGGAGAUUGCAAUGCUACGUUGUCACCGGCGACAGACAGACACCGCACCCGCAAACACGGGCAAGACACAGCCCCUACAACCAAAGUAGAUAAACUGCUACAAGCAUUCACCCUCCAAACACGAUUGGUUGACGUGUGGCGAGCUCUACACCCAACCACACAUGACUUUACAUUCUUUUCACACCCACACAACUCUUACUCACGUAUAGACCUAUUUUUGAUUUCCCCCUCCCUCCUACCCAUGGUCCACACAGCCACCAUAGGCAACAUAACAUGGUCAGAUCACGCGGACAUAGCCCUAACAAUAAAAAUCCCAAACGUAGCGCGCCCCUGGACCUGGAGACUGAACCCGACUCUGCUACAUAACCCCCUCCUGAGAGACACCAUUCACAAAGACUUGUCAGAAUAUUUUACCAAUAACGCACCCUCAGCACCCUCCCCGGGAAUACUAUGGGCAGCACACAAAGCAGUCAUCAGGGGGAAAUUAAUUAGCCUAGCCGCAGCACAUAAGAAAACUCAACUAAAGUCACUAGCAAAAUCCCUGGAGGCCCUCAGGAACCUAGAAACCGAACACAAACAAAAGCCCACCCCUGACAUUCUCGCAAAACUGACAGACUGCCACAAGCAAAUUAAAGACUUCAUGGCCAAGGACUCGGCCAAGGCAUUACAAUGGUCAAAACAGACCUACUAUGAAAAAUCAAACAAGGCAGACACUCUGCUAGCGAGAAAACUUAAACACAGGACAGACCAAAAAAGAAUAGACAAAAUACAGACACCGGAGGGAAUCACACACUCCCUCCCAUCAAAAAUAGGCGAAGUCUUCCAAAAAUACUUUACCACACUAUAUGACCACAACCCAGAAGCGAGACAACACCCGGACGUAAUGUUAGAGUCCAUAAACACAUAUCUGCAAAAAAUACCACUACCAGCCCUGAAACCAGAAGCGAUAGCUAAACUAAGUGAACCUAUCACCAUAGAAGAAGUGGCCACAGCAAUUAAAAACACUAAACCCAAUAAAAGCCCCGGACCCGAUGGUUUUUCGGGUCUUUACUAUAAAACCUUCCCAACCACACUCCUCCCACACCUAUGCUCACUCUUCAACUCUGUGAUACAGGGAAAUCCGCUACCACCGGACAUGCUCCGAGCCAACGUGUGCCUCCUCCCUAAACCAGGCAAAUCCCACCUGGACCCAAGCCACUAUAGACCAAUCUCUCUACUGAACGUGGACGUCAAAUUACUCACUAAACUACUCGUAAAUAGGAUAAACCCAUACAUACAUAAACUUAUCCACCCCGACCAGGUAGGUUUCAUACCCCACAGACAAGCAUACGACAACACAAGACGGACCUUCGACCUCCUCUGGACCGCAACACACCGACGCAUCCCAGCCCUCUUUCUCUCACUAGACGCAGAGAAGGCUUUUGACCGACUCCUAUGGCCUUUUCUGUUCGCUACCCUCCGCAAAUUUCGGGUACCCCACACAAUUCUCAACGCACUUCAAACUUUGUACUCCUCCCCAGAAGCAAGCCUCCUCAUCCCUAACACACAACCCCCCUCCUUCCGCAUCUUCAAUGGAACCAGACAGGGAUGCCCCCUCUCCCCACUAUUAUUCGCCCUCUCAUUAGAACCCCUCCUCCAAGCCCUCAGGUUCGACCCUACAAUAUCGGGCAUAUGUAUAAGAGGGGAGGAAUACAAAGUUGCAGGAUACGCAGACGAUCUCCUCCUAACCCUCACCGAUCCAACACAAUCUCUACCUCCACUCCUUCACGCCUUGGACGAAUAUGCCAAAGUCUCAGGUUAUCGCCUUAACCUAGAUAAGACAGAUGCCCUACCUGUCCAAAUCCCAGCUGACGAGCUAUCCCACCUGCAGACCAGCUAUCCUUUCCAUUUCAACCCAUCUCAUAUACACUACCUAGGCGUCAACCUCCCAGCAGAUGUCACUCAAACAUAUCACCUAAACUAUACCCCCUAACUACAAAAAGCGCUGGCAGACCUCAAGACAUGGGAGACCUACUCGAUCUCCUGGCUGGGAAGAGUAGCCUGCAUCAAAAUGAAUCUUCUACCAAGAUUCUUGUACUUGAAUCAAACGCUACCAGUCCAGGUAUCGAUCAAAGAUUUCAAAGGCUUACAAACGCAGAUCGACCGCUUCAUAUGGGCAAACAAACGCGCCAGGAUUAGACGAGACAUCCUAUAUCUCCCGACCAAGGCCGGGGGACUGGGUCUACCUCAUUUCCUACACUACUUUCAUGCGGCCCAACUAACCCAAAUCCAG
Non-coding RNA from Pelobates cultripes (western spadefoot toad), 2561 nucleotides. NCBI's taxonomy places the organism in Eukaryota, Metazoa, Chordata, Amphibia, Anura, Pelobatidae. The record is from the annotation of a GenBank genome assembly.